GCAGAUCUCCAAGAGGGAGGGGCCGGCCACCUCUCUGGCCCUGUCUGCCAGGCUGGUUCAGCUGACUGCUGGCUGGAACCAUGCUCUGCUCCCUCUCUGCCCUUCUCCUGGGCACUUUCUUAGCGGGUGCCCUCCUCCUUGGUGCCAGAGCUCAGACCAUCCAUCAGUGGCCACCUACCAAGAUCCAGCGUGUGGGCAGGCCACUCUCCCUGGACUGCACAGUGAAGGGGACAUCAAGCCCCAACCUGUACUGGUACCGGCAGGCCGGAGGUGGGGCCCUCCAGCUGCUCUUCUUCUCCAUCAGUGCUGGCCACGCAGAGUCUCAGGCGCCCCAGCACUUCACAGCCUCCAGGCCCCAGGACGGCCACUUUAGCCUGCAUUCUGAGAAGCUCCUCCUCAACGACUCUGGCCUCUACCUCUGCGCCUGGAGGGCCGGGUGCAGGGUGUUCGUCACCGGGUUUCUCACUGCCACUCUGCAUGAGAGCAACGGGUUCGAGCCAGAUCUCCCCAAAGAACCUUACUGA
This is a non-coding RNA of Phyllostomus hastatus (greater spear-nosed bat), 524 nucleotides long. Lineage: Eukaryota; Metazoa; Chordata; Mammalia; Chiroptera; Phyllostomidae. The record is from the annotation of a RefSeq genome assembly.